Molecule: ribosomal RNA, 433 nt
Filed under: uncultured bacterium
Lineage: Bacteria
Description: partial 16S ribosomal RNA
Rfam family: Bacterial small subunit ribosomal RNA
Source: RNAcentral
AACGAACGCUGGCGGCAGGCCUAACACAUGCAAGUCGAACGAGAGCUUCGAGUCUAGUGCGGCAGGGGGGCGUAACACGUGGGAGCCUGCCCUUAGUGUCUCGAUAACACACCGAGAGAGUUGUUCAUACCGCGGAAUAGCCUCGGACCAAAGAUUUAUCUCCCUUGGAUAGGCCCGCGUUGGAUUAGCUAGUUGGUGGGGUAAAAGCCUACCAAGGCGACGAUCCAUAGCUGGUCUGAGAGGAUAAUCAGCCACACUGGGACUGAGACACGGCCCAGACUCCUACGGGAGGCAGCAGUGGGGAAUAUUGGACAAUGGGCGCAAGCCUGAUCCAGCAAUGCCGCGUGAGUGAUGAAGGCCUUAGGGUUGUAAAGCUCUUUUACCCGGGAUGAUAAUGACGGUACCGGGAGAAUAAGCUCCGGCUAACUCCGUG